CCUACGGGAGGCAGCAGUGGGGAAUAUUGGGCAAUGGGCGCAAACCUGACCCAGCAACGCCGCGUGAAGGAAGAAGGCUCUCGGGUUGUAAACUUCUUUUGUCAGGGACGAAGCAAGUGACGGUACCUGACGAAUAAGCCAUGGCUAACUACGGGCCAGCAGCCGCGGUAAUACGUAGGUGGCAAGCGUUAUCCGGAUUUACUGGGUGUAAAGGGCGUGUAGGCGGGACUGCAAGUCCGAUGUGAAAACCACGGGCUCAACCUGUGGCCUGCAUUUGAAACUGUAGUUCUUGAGUACUGGAGAGGCAGACGGAAGUCCUAGUGUAGCGGUGAAAUGCGUAGAUAUUAGGAGGAACACCAGUGGCGAAGGCAGUCUGCUGGACAGCAACUGACGCUGAGGCGCGAAAGCGUGGGGAGCAAACAGGAUUAGAUACCCUGGUAGUC
RNAcentral lists this ribosomal RNA (443 nucleotides) under uncultured bacterium. RNAcentral describes it as "partial 16S ribosomal RNA". It matches the Rfam family "Bacterial small subunit ribosomal RNA", at positions 338 to 795 of the family's 1533-position model. The record is from RNAcentral.